RNAcentral lists this ribosomal RNA (465 nucleotides) under uncultured bacterium. RNAcentral's name for it is "partial 16S ribosomal RNA". It matches the Rfam family "Bacterial small subunit ribosomal RNA", at positions 338 to 795 of the family's 1533-position model. The record is from RNAcentral.
CCUACGGGAGGCAGCAGUGGGGAAUAUUGCGCAAUGGGCGAAAGCCUGACGCAGCGACGCCGCGUGAGGGAUGAAGGUCUUCGGAUCGUAAACCUCUGUCAGCAGGGAAGAACGGUCACUGUGCUAAUCAGCAGUGAAUUGACGGUACCUGCAAAGGAAGCACCGGCUAACUCCGUGCCAGCCGCCGCGGUAAUACGGAGGGUGCGAGCGUUAAUCGGAAUUACUGGGCGUAAAGGGCUCGUAGGCGGUAUGUCAAGUCAAGGGUGAAAUCCCCGAGCUCAACGUGGGAACUGCCUUUGAUACUGGCAAACUGGAGUGUGUGAGAGGAUAGUGGAAUUCGAGGUGUAGGAGUGAAAUCCGUAGAUAUCUGGAGGAACAUCAGUGGCGAAGGCGACUAUCUGGCACAUAACUGACGCUGAGGAGCGAAAGCGUGGGUAGCAAACAGGAUUAGAUACCCCGGUAGUC